AGGACGAACGCUGGCGGCGUGCUUAACACAUGCAAGUCGAACGGAAAGGCCCUUCGGGGUACUCGAGUGGCGAACGGGUGAGUAACACGUGGGUGAUCUGCCCUGCACUUUGGGAUAAGCCUGGGAAACUGGGUCUAAUACCGAAUAUGACCAUGCGCCUCCUGGUGUGUGGUGGAAAGCUUUUGCGGUGUGGGAUGGGCCUGCGGCCUAUCAGCUUGUUGGUGGGUAAUGGCCUACCAAGGCGACGACGGGUAGCCGGCCUGAGAGGGUGACCGGCCACACUGGGACUGAGAUACGGCCCAGACUCCUACGGGAGGCAGCAGUGGGGAAUAUUGCACAAUGGGCGCAAGCCUGAUGCAGCGACGCCGCGUGAGGAUGGACGGUCCUUGGGUUACGUAAACCUCUUUCAGUACCGACGAAGCGCCGUUGUGGUGUGACGGUAGUACGAGAAGAAGCCGACGGCCAACUACG
RNAcentral lists this ribosomal RNA (471 nucleotides) under uncultured soil bacterium. RNAcentral describes it as "bacterial SSU rRNA". It matches the Rfam family "Bacterial small subunit ribosomal RNA", at positions 26 to 505 of the family's 1533-position model. The record is from RNAcentral.